GUUCUCUGUAUCAUCAUUCUCAUGGGGAGUCAGGCAUUAGACCAGCUGUGCUUCUCCUGCUGUCCUUUAAAUAAAGAUUGGUAUGUGUUCAUUUCCAGCUCUAGAGCUAUGUCUGUGUUGUGUCACAAUCUAUAGAACUCACAUGUAAAGCACAGUCCUUCAGAGACUAGUAACAGCUCUACAAUGUGCUUAUUCUUCCAUGGGUAAGAUACCCUCUUGUCCAUGCUAUAGGGAAAGAAAAAAGGAGAAGGAAAAUAACACUUACUGAGCUUGAUGGAUGUGUUCAAUCUGCCCUCAGCCCCACUUUCCAUCCUUCUCCACCCUGCUCCAUGGCUCACCUCCUGUGACCUUAGUGGACUUUCUUACCAAAUGGCUUCAAGCUGGGUUUGGCCAAUAGAGGACCCUGGAGGAAUUGGAAGGAGACAAGGAGAAAAGGAUGGAAGCUGCCCUAUUCAUUUCCCGAUACCUCAGAGGUUGCCAAGGGCUGACCACAUCUCUCCACAGAAGGUCUCAGCAGCUCUCUGAUUCACCAUCUGUUCUUCCAUGUCCCAGUCUCUAACAAGGCAACCACACAGUCGUCCUAACAGCACCCCAAAACAAGCUCCACCUCCUGGAGGGUGAUUACAAGGACCACUACCCUUCACAGCUUUUCUUAAACACCUUAAUUGGUGGAAAUUCAGGAAAAGGUAGAAUAAGUCCACAGUCAAGACAAGCUAUGUGCAGUAGGAUUUUAAAAAAUAGCAUUAACGGGUUGAAAGUAGUUCAUCUGGAAGUAUUUUCUUUGGUAAGGCAAGAUGGAGAUUGAUUAGUUCUGGGACCUAAAAGAAAGACCUUCACGGGAACCUUAGACAAUAAGCCAAUUCAUCCAGGAUCUACCUACACUUCCGAGGGAUAACAAGGAUCUUCAUUUUUCUGGCCCCAAGCAGGGCAUCAACCAAAACUGAGACGCAGCCAGUUUGGUCUUUUUCUAGGGCCGUAUAGGGUAGGAAGUAAAGUUAAGAAAACUAUCACUCGCUGAGCCCUGCUAUGCAUGAGGCACCAUUGGGUAAGUUAAUAAGUUACUGUAGGUCACAAAAAUAGAAAAUACAGAGGCCAGGACUUGAAGAAUAUUUAAAUAUUGAUUGUCUAGUCCCUCCACCUCCACCGUCCUACUAAGUUGUAAUGUCUAUGGGGGAAAUAGCUUGUCAGUCUGUUGCUGAAUUCCCAGAGCCUACCAUGGUACUUGGCAAUAAACAAAGAGUUCCAUGAAAGCACGCUGAGUAAAUGAACAAAUGAAUGAGUUCUUUCUGACUUCAAAGCUGAGGGAUAUUCCACUCCACCUUACUUGUGGCUAGAAAAACAAAAUUCAAAGGGCAGUUGCUCUUAGAUUUUGAGAUGUCUCCUCUGAAGAGUAUUGAUUUCAGGAUAGAGUUUCUCCCUUUUUACAAACCAAACCUCCGCCAUCCAUAGAAGUUAUCAUUAAAAACCACACAGUGCCAUCAAAUUGGAAAACCACAAUUCCUGUUAGCAGACAAACCCAUUCCCCUUAAUGAUGAUGUAACCACUUCACUUCGGUCUCCACAGUUAACUUGGGAGCAAAUUGGAAACCAAAAAGAAAGCUUAGCAGAAACAAUUAUAUUAUAAAUGAAAAUUCCCAUGAAUACCUCAUGCUGUUUUAGGUUUGCUUUGGCUGUGUUUGCAGCCAAAAACCCAGUCAAUCAACCAAUUGUUCA
Long non-coding RNA from Equus caballus (horse), 1712 nucleotides. The record is from Ensembl. NCBI's taxonomy places the organism in Eukaryota, Metazoa, Chordata, Mammalia, Perissodactyla, Equidae.